UGGGGAAUAUUGCACAACGGGGGAAACCCUGAUGCAGCGACGCCGCGUGAGCGAAGAAGUAUUUCGGUAUGUAAAGCUCUAUCAGCAGGGAAGAAAAUGACGGUACCUGACUAAGAAGCACCGGCUAAAUACGUGCCAGCAGCCGCGGUAAUACGUAUGGUGCAAGCGUUAUCCGGAUUUACUGGGUGUAAAGGGAGCGUAGACGGUUGUGUAAGUCUGAUGUGAAAGCCCGGGGCUCAACCCCGGGACUGCAUUGGAAACUAUGUAACUAGAGUGUCGGAGAGGUAAGCGGAAUUCCUAGUGUAGCGGUGAAAUGCGUAGAUAUUAGGAGGAACACCAGUGGCGAAGGCGGCUUACUGGACGAUCACUGACGUUGAGGCUCGAAAGCGUGGGGAGCAAACAGG
This 404-nucleotide ribosomal RNA is filed under the name Acidobacteriota bacterium. Its description in RNAcentral is "Acidobacteria bacterium partial 16S ribosomal RNA". It matches the Rfam family "Bacterial small subunit ribosomal RNA", at positions 355 to 776 of the family's 1533-position model. The record is from RNAcentral. Lineage: Bacteria; Pseudomonadati; Acidobacteriota.